Molecule: ribosomal RNA, 497 nt
Filed under: uncultured bacterium
Lineage: Bacteria
Description: partial 16S ribosomal RNA
Rfam family: Bacterial small subunit ribosomal RNA
Source: RNAcentral
GACGAACGCUGGCGGCGUGCCUAAUACAUGCAAGUUGAGCGCUGAAGGUUGGUACUUGUACCCACUGGAUGUGCCGCGAACGGGUGAGUCACGUGUGGGGACUCUGCCUUAGAGCGGGGGACAACAUGUGGAAACGAAUGCUAACACCACAUAAAAACUUUAUACAUAAGUUUUACGUUAGAAAUAUGCAAUCGCAUCUCUCAAAUAUGAUUCCGCGUUGUAUUAGCUAGUUGGUGAGGUAAAGGCUCACCAAGGCGAUGAUACAUAGCCGACCUGAGAGGGUGAUCGGCCACACUGGGACUGAGACACGGCCCAAACUCCUACGGGAGGCAGCAGUAGGGAAUCUUCGGCAAUGGACGGAAGUCUGACCGAGCAACGCCGCGGGAGUGAAGAAGGUUUUCGGAUCGUAAAACUCUGUUGGUAGAGAAGAACGUUGGUGAGAGUGGAAAGCUCAUAAAGUGACGGUAACUAACCAGAAAGGGACGGCUAACUACGUG